GACGAACGCUGGCGGCGUGCUUAACACAUGCAAGUCGAACGGAAAGGCCCUGCUUGCAGGGUACUCGAGUGGCGAACGGGUGAGUAACACGCGGGUGAUCUGCCCUGCACUUCGGGAUAAGCCUGGGCAACUGGGUCUAACACCGGAUAGGAGCCAUUUUUAGUGUGAUGGUUGGAAAGUGUUUUGGGUGUAGGAUGAGCUCGCGGCCUAUCAGCUUGUUGGGGGGGUGAUGGCCUACCAAGGCGGCGAGGGGUAGCCGGCCUGAGUGGGUGGACGGCCACAUUGGGACUGAGAUGCGGCCCAGACACCUACGGGAGGCAGCAGUGGGGAAGAUUGCAGAAUGGGCGCAAGCCUGAUGCAGCGAGGCCGCGGGGGGGAUGACGGCCUUCGGGUUGAAAACCCCUUUCGCUAGGGGCGAAGCUUUUUGUGACGGUACCUAGAUAAGAAGCACCGGCUAACUACGUG
RNAcentral lists this ribosomal RNA (465 nucleotides) under uncultured bacterium. RNAcentral describes it as "partial 16S ribosomal RNA". It matches the Rfam family "Bacterial small subunit ribosomal RNA", at positions 28 to 507 of the family's 1533-position model. The record is from RNAcentral.